RNA transcript from Stegastes partitus (bicolor damselfish), 1532 nucleotides. It is a transcript of the gene named perilipin 2, with no coding region annotated. Lineage: Eukaryota; Metazoa; Chordata; Actinopteri; Pomacentridae. The transcript has 9 exons. The record is from RefSeq and is a predicted model, not a curated record.
GUAGAGACAGUGGGAUUACUCGGUUUUUAUUGAGCAGAAAUGGCAUCAGCUGAAGUUAUCUCAAAUCAGAGUGUGGUGGAGCGGGUGACCAGCCUCCCUCUGGUGAUCUCCACCUACGACCUGGUUUCCAGCUUGUACUCCAACACCAAAGACAACCACCCGUACAUCAGGACGGUGUGCGAGGCUGCCGAGCACGGAGUCCGCUCCCUCACCUCCGUGGCCCUCACCACCGCCUCGCCCAUCAUCGACAAGCUGGAGCCUCAGCUUGCCAUUGCCAACGACCUGGCCUGUAAGGGUUUGGACAAGAUUGAGAAAACUCUGCCGAUUCUCCACCAGCCCUCAGAUCAGAUCGUUUCCAGCGCCAAGGAUGUGGUAACUACCGCCAAGGAUGUCAUGACGGGCCGAGUGUCCGACGCCAAGGGCACCGUCUCGGACACCCUGACCAGCGUGGUGGGCGCGGUGCAGGACGGCGUGGAGAAGACCAGGGCCGUGGUCAGCGGGAGCGUGAGCACGGUGCUGGAAAGCAAAGUGGCCCAGCUGGUGAGCAGCGGCGUGGACACGGCCCUCAGCACCUCCGAGAGUCUGGUGGAGCAGUAUUUGCCUCUGACGGAGGGCGAACUGGAGAUGGAGGCCAGAACGGAGAAGGGCGCCAAGCAGCCGAGCUACUACGUCCGCCUGGGCUGCCUCUCCACCAAGCUCCGCAAGAGAGCGUACACCAGAGCCGUGGCCAGGAUACAGGAGGGCAAGCAGCGCAGCAUGGAGUUCAUUUCUGAGCUCAACUCCACCUUUGAGCGGAUUGAAUAUCGCAGAAAGAACCCCAACAGUUCCCGUCAGGAGCAGGUUCAGGACGCAGAGGUCAUCGAGUCUCGCACCUUGGCCCUGGCACAUUCCCUCACCCAGCAGCUCCAGACCACCUGCCUGGUGCUGGUCUCCGGCCUGCAGGGUCUCCCCAACAACAUCCAGCAGGAGGCGCUCUCCCUCACACACUCCGCCGCGCAGGUCUACGGCAACUUCCGCAAAGCCAAGGUGCUGGGAGACCUUCCGGACAGCGUGUUGUCCAGCAGCAAAGCCCAGCUACGCAAAAUUAAAGACUCCCUGGACAACGUGAUGGAUUACCUGAUCAACAACACGCCGCUCAACUGGCUGGUGGGUCCCUUCUACCCCCGCCCCGAACCCGCACCCGCCCGAACGUCCACCUCCACCGCGUCCUCCAGCUCUGCUUCCACUCGGCCGCUCAGGGAGGAGCCCAUGGAGGUGGAGAUGGAGUCGCUGAGACCCCCGCAGGAGGAGCAGGAGGAGCACUGAUCCAGCUUCAUAUUCAGAGUUUUAUUAUAUUUUAACGAUUUCACUCUUUUUUUAAAUUAACGCUGAAUGCAGCAGGAUUCAGUUUUUACUUCAUCUUCUUGCAUCAAGUACAAAAAAUGUGAGAUUUGUCAAUUCUUUGCACUGUUUUGUAAUUGAGACAUUUUCCAGCCAAUCUGGCAAAACUUGAGCCAGUUGAAUUUCUACAUAAAGUCUCCUGAAACACAAAG